Molecule: ribosomal RNA, 253 nt
Filed under: uncultured bacterium
Lineage: Bacteria
Description: partial 16S ribosomal RNA
Rfam family: Bacterial small subunit ribosomal RNA
Source: RNAcentral
UACAGAGGGGGCAAGCGUUGUUCGGAAUUACUGGGCGUAAAGGGCGCGUAGGCGGCCUGUUAAGUCGAACGUGAAAUCCCCGGGCUCAACCCGGGAACUGCGUCCGAUACUGGCAGGCUUGAAUUCGGGAGAGGGAUGCAGAAUUCCAGGUGUAGCGGUGAAAUGCGUAGAUAUCUGGAGGAAUACCGGUGGCGAAGGCGGCAUCCUGGACCGACAUUGACGCUGAUGAGCGAAAGCGUGGGGAGCAAACAGG